CGCGUGGGAGGCCGCGGUGGCCGCAGCUACGGCUGCCGCCAUUUUCUUUCUGCCGUCGCCGUGUCGCGCGGCGGGCUCUGCGGACCGGGGCGCUGCGCCGGGCUCCAUGUCGCCGGGUCGCGCGGUGGGGGACGGCGGGCGGCGGCGGGGCUCAGCGUGGCUUUCCGUACGGCCUGAGCCUCUUGUGCCCGUGCGGUGGCCGGAGUGCGCCGGUGCGACCCGCCUGGCCUUGGCUGCGCGGCGACUGGGGCCGGGCUCCAGCUCUGUGGCUCCCGCCGGCGCCGACCCGGUGGCUCUGCUGCCUUGGCUGCAUCUCUCCUGCAUAUUUAUGAUCAUCUGUCACAUUCCCUGUCCGUGGACAGUGUCCAAAGCCUAGCUCGGGGGAGCGUGCCAACAGGAGAUACUGCUUCCAUGAACUUAUUUACCUCCAGUCCCUGCUUAUUACUUCUCCUAUCAUCUGGCAUCUUCCCUGAGGCUCCAAAAGCUGUCCAACAAGACAAAUUAAGUCCAUCCAAAUUUUGGUCCAUCCAAUGACCAAAUUAAGGCCACCAGGAUCAAAAGCUUGAGCUUUGUCACUAUCAACGACAGUGGCAGUGUCCUCUGCCCCAGUGUAAUUGUCUAUGAUGAUAACAUCCACUUGAUCCUUUGUGCCAGUUACUGGUGAGAUCUUCCAAAGGGGGUGAAUAAGAGUUACACUGUGGUGUUUGGUUUCCUUUCCAGCUAGCUGAGGAUAUAGCCAAGUGGAGAAUUGCUUAAGCAAAUUGAAAUGCAUGCCAAGCCUGAAAAUUUCCCUAGCUAACAGUCCAGUUCCACCUUGGAAUUAAGCUUGCUGAAGUUGAAAACAUGAUCAAAACUUUGCCUUAUUAUUUGUAAAUGCUGUGAUAGAGAAAAAAAAAUUGUAAAGCUCUACCAGUCUGAAGCAUCCACCUGACAUAACCUUAACUCUGCAUUGGGAUGGAGAAAUUAAGCAGCUGUGUGACUAUUACGGUCAGAUAUGAUCUUUCUUUCCAUGCUCACUCUGUAGAAGCUUGUCCCUGGACUUUUUUGACGGAGCCCCAAG
This is a long non-coding RNA of Rattus norvegicus (Norway rat), 1060 nucleotides long. The record is from Ensembl. Lineage: Eukaryota; Metazoa; Chordata; Mammalia; Rodentia; Muridae.